This is a long non-coding RNA of Aegilops tauschii subsp. strangulata, 2921 nucleotides long. RefSeq lists it as uncharacterized. The record is from RefSeq and is a predicted model, not a curated record. Lineage: Eukaryota; Viridiplantae; Streptophyta; Magnoliopsida; Poales; Poaceae.
AUCCCCUCCCUCAAAUGCCGCCGCCCGUCGCUGCCGCCCCCGCCACCUCCCGUCGCGGCUCCUUCGCCCUCGCAGCCACCGCCGAUCCCCUCCCUCAAACGCCGCCGCCCGUUGCUGCCGCCCCCGCCACCUCCCGUCGCGGCCGCCCCCGCCACCUCCCGUCACGGGCAGGCGGGAGGAGCCCUGCCCGGCCAUGGCGACACCACCGGCGGCCUCCUCCUCCCCCUCACCUUCUCUCCCUCUCCCAAGGGAGGGAAGGGAAUGGAAGGGAUCUGAUUGGAGCGGUGGAUCUGCGCCCUUGCCAUCUCUUCUUUUCUUCACGAUUCCAGGAGGAGAUCAAAGUGGGACGUAGACGAGCAGGAGCGCCGCGUCCGCGACAGCGAUGAACGACGACCCAGGUUCUCCUCUCCCAUGGCUGGGACACCAACUGGUGGCGCAACGGACAGCGGGAGAUCGGCUGGUGGCAACGGAUGGCAGGAGGCCGCAGGACCGUGCGAGGAGCAGGUAACCGGAGGAUGUCGCCGGUGGAAAUCUGGCAAGUGGCGGCGGCAUAGAGGGCUUAUGGUUUGAUGUUGGUCUUUUUACCUAUAGCACUGAAUUUCAUGUAUAGGUUGUGCUGAUCCUAAGAUUGCCAAAAACUGCUUCGUAAAAAUCACCCAGGUCUGCUUUUUAUUGUGAUUAUGCAAAUUGCUCGAAACCUGAGUUGUCCUAUUUUGUUGAUGAAGGAAUUGAAAUCUGAAGACAUGGUGAUUUUUACCCAAUGGGUUAUGCCCUUGAGCACGAAGAGCUUUUGAACUCUGAGGUUCAGGACCACGCGUGCUUCUCACAUUUAUUGAGACAGAGAGUAUUAAUCAAAAGCGGUUCAAGUUUCCACAAUGAGCUAUACAUCAUCUAAACUCACAUGGAUAUACCAGGUCUGCCUUUCCCUACAAUUUAAGCCUUUGUUUUGGCAGGUAUCAGUCACCUGGUGCUAAACUUGGUGCUUAAUGAUCAACUAGAACAAAGUUUCAUAGCCUUCCAGAUUUGUCAAAUCUACAAUAACAGGAUAAUUCCUGUUAGACAUGUUAUUCUAUUGGUACAUGUCAUAUAACAAAAUUCUUGUAUUUUGGAAGGAGAAAACAUUGAGUGGAGCAAUUAUGCAAUUCAAGUGGCAUGGUCAUCAAAGGUUUUGUUUUUUCUUAAUCGUGACAUGUGUUAAUAUUGUGCAAAUCAGAAUAUCAUUUUUUAGGUUUGCAAAUAAAAUUAACCUGAAUAAAGUAUUUUAAACUUAGUGAGCAUAAUAGUGUUUUGUAGUGUGAGGAUAAUAAGGUGUAGUGAGGCUGCUGCUCACCGGUGGCUCGCCGGCCAUCCGAGAGCCAGAAUUGCGGCCCCACGCGAGGGAAAGAUCAGCGUUGCUGCAACCACGGCAGGACACCCACCAUGCGCGUACCAUACAGGCAGCAUCAGCCUCACUUCACCUUGGAUGACAUGACGAUUAUGAAAUAUUCAGUCAUCCCCCUUGGGUCUACCUGUUGGACACUUGGACCUACUCAUGUGUUUGAGAUGAUUGUGCAGAAAAGCUGAAAAACGGGAUAAAAUUCUAUGUGAGAGAUGACCGCUAAAGGAGUGCGACGCCACCAUCCUGUGCCACAAACCAUACCAAGAAUGGCGGGUUAUGGAUAGAGUUCAUUUGAUCCAUCUGAUAAAAAUACCUAUUGGGGAAUAAGCAUGAAAAGUAAUCAACCACUCUUUCCGCAGUGGAGUUCGGCCGUGAUGAUCAGAAGUUUAGGACCACACUGUAGUCAAGAAAAAGGAAUGAUCUUCGAGUUGAAAUGGAUUUGAUGAGGGAAGUCUGCAAUGCAGACUGUGUUAAGUGUACCCGCUCCAGAUUUCAUCGACAGUAAAUGGUCCACUGCUAUCGGCAGGAGGAAUAUGCAUGCGUUGGUGGGUGCUGGAGAUUCCCUGCAAUACCCGAGGAUCCGAUGGCGAGCCGUAGGUCGGGGAAGUCGUCGGCAUACAUAUAAGGAGAUGGAGGUGGAAGUGGCGGUGGAGGGAGACGGGCAUUCACUACUCGUCGGAGGGUGAGGGCAUGGAGGACAACCGGCACGACAAUUACCACGCCUUCCUCCCGUCGAAUCACUCAAGCACGACGUCCUGGUCCUCUCUAUCCAUUGGCCCCCUCCAACAUCUACCACGAUGACCACAUGUUGUUUGCGUAGCAGCAACGGCGGCCAUCCAUGAUCUUCUUUUGUGCCGACCUGCUAGAAACAGGUUGGGCUAUAGACAACUAGAGAUUGGUCACCUGUCUAGCAGCUCUUUUCUGAAAACAAAGCCCAGGUCUAUGUGUUCAAAAUCAUGAAGGAGGAUGUCAAAGUGUUUCUGCAGCGCAUCAGGCGGAAGAAAAAGCAACAUGAAGUUCCCGUCUACAUCAAACUGCUUUCACUUAUAUUCUGCCGAAUUUGUUCCAUCUAUAGGACAGUACAUGGAGAUUAUCUAUAAGGGUUAUGUCCCGUACAAGGAUAUUAUCUUAUAGGACAGGCAUAUCAGCCCCCAUUCAGACAUAGCAGAUAUUCAACAGAAGAAGUUCCUCCACUGCUACUGGCCAAACUCUAAGCAAAAAGACCUUCCACUUUCCUUGCUAAUGGGGAGAGGCGCCAUACUUAACGCAGGUGAUGGCAAAGUAUCUCAAGUUUGCAUACCAAUGAUAUUUAUCGGACUCGAAAGAUGAUGCAUCCAUUCAAAUUGGGUAACGCUUCUACAUGGCAUUCGGUGUAACCUGCCAAAUAUCUCUUAGGCAUAACUGAUUAUUAUUUUUAAGUAUGGACCCAAAUAAUUCACCCAUGACAUGUUCUUGAAAUUAAUUUAUUCUACUGAUUAUUCAGAACAUGAGUGUUAGAUUUUGUAGUCCAAAAUGAUGAUAAUGAAGUUGAGAGAAGAGAGUA